AAGUCGGGCCUGCCCACUGAGUAAUAGAAGGGCCGCGGUAUUUUCACCGUGCAAAGGUAGCAUAAACAAUAGUCUUUUAAUUGAAGGCUGGAAUGAAUGGUUUGACGAAGUAUUAACUGUCUCUAUGUUAUAUUUAGAAUUUAUCUUUAAAGUUAAAAGACUAAAAUACUUAUAUGGGACGAGAAGACCCUAUAGAGCUUUAUAUAAUUAUAAGAUAUAUAUGUAUUUAGUGGUGUUCGUGUAUUAUAUUAAUAUAUUAUGUUGGGGAGACAUCAAGAUUAAAGAAACUCUUUAUUUAUAUUUACAAAGAUUUAUCAAUACAUCAUCCAUUAUUAUUCAUUGUAUGAUAAAGUUACCUUACGGAAAACAGCGUUAUCUUUUGAGAGUUCAUAUCGACAAAGAAGAUUGCGACCUCGAUGUUGGAUUAAGAGAAAGAUUAAGUGCAGAAGCUAUAUUAUUAUGUCUGUUCGACUUUAUAAUUCUUAC
Molecule: ribosomal RNA, 486 nt
Filed under: Ingrischagraecia iterika
Lineage: Eukaryota; Metazoa; Arthropoda; Insecta; Orthoptera; Tettigoniidae
Description: partial 16S ribosomal RNA
Rfam family: Archaeal large subunit ribosomal RNA
Source: RNAcentral